RNAcentral lists this ribosomal RNA (301 nucleotides) under uncultured bacterium. Its description in RNAcentral is "partial 16S ribosomal RNA". It matches the Rfam family "Bacterial small subunit ribosomal RNA", at positions 509 to 807 of the family's 1533-position model. The record is from RNAcentral.
CAGCAGCCACGGUAAUACGUAGGGUCCGAGCGUUGUCCGGAAUUAUUGGGCGUAAAGGGCUCGUAGGCGGUUUGUCGCGUCGGGAGUGAAAACCCAGGGCUUAACUUUGGGCUUGCUUUCGAUACGGGCAGACUUGAGGCAUUGAGGGGAGAACGGAAUUCCUGGUGUAGCGGUGAAAUGCGCAGAUAUCAGGAGGAACACCGGUGGCGAAGGCGGUUCUCUGGCAAUGUUCUGACGCUGAGGAGCGAAAGUGUGGGGAGCGAACAGGAUUAGAUACCCGUGUAGUCCCUGUCUCUUAUAC